UCACGAUACUGGCAACCCGGUGAAAACACUGGGACGCAAAGCAAUAGGACCUAAUCUUCCGGCUGGAGGAAUGGCAACCUGGCCGCAGAA
RNAcentral lists this non-coding RNA (90 nucleotides) under Geosporobacter ferrireducens. RNAcentral's name for it is "c-di-GMP sequence". It matches the Rfam family "c-di-GMP-I riboswitch aptamer". Rfam says of the family: GEMM was predicted in a large-scale screen for bacterial structured RNA regulatory elements. Lineage: Bacteria; Bacillati; Bacillota; Clostridia; Peptostreptococcales; Thermotaleaceae. The record is from Rfam by way of RNAcentral.